RNAcentral lists this ribosomal RNA (465 nucleotides) under uncultured bacterium. Its description in RNAcentral is "partial 16S ribosomal RNA". It matches the Rfam family "Bacterial small subunit ribosomal RNA", at positions 28 to 507 of the family's 1533-position model. The record is from RNAcentral.
GAUGAACGCUGGCGGCGUGCUUAACACAUGCAAGUCGAACGGUGAAGCCAAGCUUGCUUGGUGGAUCAGUGGCGAACGGGUGAGUAACACGUGAGCAACCUGCCCUGGACUCUGGGAUAAGCGCUGGAAACGGCGUCUAAUACUGGAUAUGAGCCUCUUCCGCAUGGUGGGGGUUGGAAAGAUUUUUUGGUCUGGGAUGGGCUCGCGGCCUAUCAGCUUGUUGGUGAGGUAAUGGCUCACCAAGGCGUCGACGGGUAGCCGGCCUGAGAGGGUGACCGGCCACACGGGGACGGAGACACGGCCCAGACUCCUCGGGGGGCAGGAGGUGGGGAAUAUUGCAAAUGGGGCGAAGGCCUGAGGAAGCAACGCCGCGUGGGGGAGAAGGCCUUCGGGUUGUAAACCUCUUUUAGCAGGGAAGAAGCGAAAGUGACGGUACCUGCAGAAAAAGCGCCGGCUAACUACGUG